Phrynosoma platyrhinos (Desert horned lizard) is the source of this 71-nucleotide non-coding RNA. Lineage: Eukaryota; Metazoa; Chordata; Lepidosauria; Squamata; Phrynosomatidae. The record is from the annotation of a GenBank genome assembly.
GCCAGUGUAGCAUAGUGGUUUAAAUGUCAGACUAUGACUCUGGAGACCAGGUUCAAUUCUCAGCUCAACCA